GGAGCUCCCGCCAAAUUUGAACGGCGUAUUCCGUUUGCGAUGGUAGCGGGAGAUUAUUGAAAGUUUCCUCCCUCCGCUCGACCGUCGUCUGCGUUUUCAUGAGCGUAGCUAUCUCUGGGGCAGGAAGAGACCGCUGCCUCCAUGUAAGAGCAACUCCGGCAGGGCCAGGCUUCCGUGACUUGCGAAAAGGGAUGGAUAAUUGUACUUUUCCAAGAUACAGUGACAAUGACAUUGUGGUACACAUUCGCAACUGUUUAUUAAGUGGAAAUGAGGCUAAAUUUUUUUCAAAAAGUGAUUUAUUUCCAAAUGUAAAGCCUGAAAUAUUGCGUAUGAUUUUCAUGAGAGUUUUACAAAGUGUGUAUGGAAUCCGUGUGGAACAUUUUUACACGAUGCCAGUGACAUUUGAAACAGCAUAUCCUCAGAUUUUUGAAGGCUUUUUACCCAUAGGAAAUCUAUUUGUUAAUAUGGAGCGAUUUUUCCCCAUCUGUCGUGUCAAUGACUUCCAGAUUGCAGACAUUAUACAUCCAAAAGCAAACAGGACAGCUCGGUUUUUGAGUGGUAUUUUUAAUUUUCUAUACUUCUGUGAUUCACGGCGUGAAGUCUACUUGGAAAUCCAGAAUGUACAUAAAACAGCAAUGGAGAAAGAGCAACAACUUCAGGUGGCAAUCCAGGAUGCAACACUGAAGCUGGAAAAGAUGGAUAUUGUUCCUGCAGACCAAGAAGUAGAGUUCAAGGAGCUGUCUCAAGAAAUUCAAGAACUACAGCAUAAACUCAACCAAGAAUAUCGGCAGAAAACAAAUGUUUUGCAAGAAAUGAUCCAUCAAAAAAGAAUGGAAAUUGCAGAAAAAAAUCAAAAUUUAAAUGAUCUGAAAAUGGCAAUUUGUUAUCUGAAACAAGAACAAGAGCAACUGAAGUCCAGGAUUACAGAAUCUCCAGAGAAACUCACUAAUUGCAGGGAACGAAUGAAACAGACACAGCAGAAGAUUAAAAAAGACAAGCAAGAAGUAAUUGAGAAGUAUGAAUCUUACAGAGACUUGGUAGAAAUGUUUCCAUCGUGUCAACAGGAGGUCCAAUUUUACGGGAAAAAAAUGCAAACACAAGGAACAAAUAUGGAUAAGCUUUCAAAUAUAUUGGCCCAGAUCAGAACGUUAGAGGACCAGAUUGAGAAUAGCAAAAGUGGAUUCAAGAAUGCUAAGACGGAAGAAAUGUCAUUGAAGAGAUUAGUCUCAGUUAAACGUGAAAAAUUUGCUGCUGUUGAAAUCAAACUUAAAAAGAUAUAUGAGAAUACUGAGCUGCAGAAACAGGCGAUAACUGAAUGUUGCAAUAAAUUUCAAGAGAAGAGAGGAGCUGUCUGUGAAAAACUGACAGCAACAGACACAGAAAUAAUGCAACUCAAAGGUGCCAUUCAACAGCUCAGUGACAAUGUUGGGAAAGAGAAGGUGAAAGAGAAGUACUGUUGGAAGAAAUAUCCAUCUGGUUCAGUUCCAAGCUGGAAAGAGGACACUGGAAACAUGGAUGCUGAUUGGAAAGACAGGUUUAUUGAUGAAGCAGAACCACCAACCACAUGUGAUUCUGGGCAGCUGACAAAAUGAAGUUGAGAGUGGGUGGGUUUGUAUAUCUUCUUUGGGCUUUGUAUUUGAGCUUCUUGUUCCUGUGCAAGAACAUGUCCUUUAAGAUUCUAUUGGCUGUUGUCAAUUUUCCUAUGGGGUUAUGUAGGGGUCAUGCGUGGCUCUAUAGGUGUCAUGUCCCAGCAUAUAACUUUUAUAUACUCUAGCCCCAUCUAGUGGCCAGAGGGACAAAUAUGCUCCAAUAUACAAUCUUUAUAUACUGUUGUUGUGCUCUAGCCCCAUCUAGUGGCUGGAGAAACAAAAUACCAAGUAUAUUGUUUGAAACUGACCCAAUCCAUUUUACCCAUCAGUCCACACUCUCAAACCAAGUGCAUGCUGGGAAGUCAGACUCCAUUUUCUUUAGCAUUUGGAGAAGGCAGAAGCAUAAAGAAGAAUCCAUCUUAAUCUGUGGAACAUGGUCAUUCAAGGACAAACCCACAUCCCACACACGGAGCAUCAUUGGUGAAAUUUAAAUUGCUUGUAUUUAUUAAUUGUUAUGCUCAGCAGUAACUUAAUACUGUCCGUCUUGUAUUUGAUUCUCAUUGUAUGUUUCCCUAUUUUCCCCAGUUUCACCAUAUCCUGUUAUUUCAACUCAGAUCUACGCAGAUGGUCUGUUUUAUUGGAGGAUAGGGUAGCAAGAACCUGAAGAGUCUGAGUGGGCAGUUUGAAUUUGAAGAAAUCAAAUAUUUGGAUUAUAAACUGGGCAGUAAGAUUUGAAAAAAACAACAACAACAAGAUGAACAAAACAAGACAAUAUUCAUCAUCACCAUCAAUAUCUGCAGCAUCUGGUACUAUUGGGCAAAAAGCAACAGAACCCACAUCACAGCAAGAGAAAAUAAACAUAGAAUUAAAAAAAUAUGCUACAGACUAUAUAUGAAGAUCUUAAGACAAGAUUAGACAAGGUAGAUGGGAUAAUGUAAAAAAUGCAAGGAGAAUUGAAAGAAGUUAAAGAAAUGAUAGGGAAAAAUGAACAACGAUUGCAGUAAAUGGAAGAAAAAGCAGAAGCAACGGAGAAAAAAGUUGAAGAUAUGGACUAUAGACUUACAAUUACUGAUAAAAAUCAGGAAAAAACAAUUAUAACCCUGGAAAUGGGUAAAGCUGAUUUUUAUUUAAGAUUACAAAACAUUGAAGAAGAAAAGGGAGAAAAUUUAGCAGAGAAAAUUGCAGAGAUACUAGCAGAAGCGAUGGAAGAAAGUAAGGAAGGGAUAUUAAGUGGAAUUGACGAAAUAUACAGAGUGCACACAAGAUAUGCGAUAAGACAUAUCUCUCUCCUUCCAACCUAAGAAAAUACGAACUCUUGAAAUGUAGUUGUUCAAAAGGAUUCUUUUAUUAAGCAGAAGUGAAAACCAUCCAGCUAAAGCACAAUCUGAAUGCCCUUAGGCAAAGCAGUAGGAUUAACGUGGUAGAGACCCCUCCCUUUAAGUCAGAAUGCAGAUUUCAGCCAAUACACAAGUGUGAAGAUGUUUUCUUUACUAUUUCCUUUGAGAACCUGAACAAACAUGCAUUCCCACCACUACCCUUUAAAGUGAGACAACCCACAUGGCUAUCAUAAAAAUUCCUGCAGGUAAAGGGAAUCUCAGGCUUCCUUGGUGCCAGGAUAUAGGUUGUAAAAUAUCUGAUGACACAGGCCAUGCUAGUAAAUCGAAUCCAAGUCCCCCCUUCCUCCACUUGAAUGGCGGUAUCACUUUUAGGGAACUGACAUGCUACCCUGAGCCAGGCUAAGAUUCGAUAUUGGGAUAAAACUCAAAUAUUAGAAAUCCAAAUCUUUGGUCAAGACAGAAGUGCCUCUUCCAUGCCAAGGUGCUAAGCUGGCAAAAGGUAUUUGACGUAGGUACAGAAUUGUAAAAGGGCAAACUGACCCUAAACAGAUACAUUCUGUUGUUUAAUGUUUAUUGCAUCCCAAAUGUCAUGCAUAUCCCUGGAUAAGGGGUGCUGCUUCCUUAUUGCCCUUGAGGCGUCUCCUAGCCUCUUAUCUCCUUUUGUUAUGUCUUGAGCGCCGGAGCAGAGAACCUGAGUAUGUGACAAGAAGAUUGUUAUUUCCUUUCCCAGAGAUAGAUGAAAGGGCAGCUUCUACGUGUGAAAUGCAUCACUCUCUGUAAUAAUUUUGCCUUUAAACUGUAUAAAUACAUGGCCAGAAGAAGCCAUCGGUGUUCAGACCCUUCGCUGUCUUUGGACUGUUUGAACCUUGCGCAAUAAACUCUUUCCUGC
This is a non-coding RNA of Pantherophis guttatus, 3815 nucleotides long. The record is from RefSeq and is a predicted model, not a curated record. Lineage: Eukaryota; Metazoa; Chordata; Lepidosauria; Squamata; Colubridae.